This is a non-coding RNA of Schistosoma rodhaini, 46 nucleotides long. The record is from Rfam. Lineage: Eukaryota; Metazoa; Platyhelminthes; Trematoda; Strigeidida; Schistosomatidae.
GCACUGCUGAGGAGUCCCAUAAUAGAACGAAACGAUCGUCAAGUGC